Molecule: unclassified non-coding RNA, 380 nt
Filed under: uncultured bacterium
Lineage: Bacteria
Description: contains 16S-23S intergenic spacer region
Source: RNAcentral
UCCAGUUUAUCACCGGCAGUCUUGCUAGAGUGCCCAGCAUUACCUGAUGGCAACUAACAAUAAAGGUUGCGCUCGUUGCGGGACUUAACCCAACACUUCACAGCACGAGCUGACGACAGCCAUGCAGCACCUGUGAAAAGGUCCCUUGCGGGAAGACACACUUUCAUGUGCUGUCCUAACCAUGUCAAGCCUGGGUAAGGUUCUUCGCGUAGCCUCGAAUUAAACCACAUGCUCCACCGCUUGUGCGGGUCCCCGUCAAUUUCUUUGAGUUUCAGUCUUGCGACCGUACUCCCCAGGUGGUGGAUUUAAUGCGUUAGCGUCGGCACCGGGGGGAUCGACACCCCCGACACCUAAUCCACAUCGUUUACGGCAAGGACUAC